Molecule: ribosomal RNA, 795 nt
Filed under: uncultured bacterium
Lineage: Bacteria
Description: bacterial SSU rRNA
Rfam family: Bacterial small subunit ribosomal RNA
Source: RNAcentral
AGAGUUUGAUCCUGGCUCAGGAUGAACGCUAGCGGGAGGCUUAACACAUGCAAGUCGUGGGGCAGCACGGGGUAGCAAUACUCUGGUGGCGACCGGCGCACGGGUGAGUAGCGCGUAUGCAACCUGCCCUGUACAGGGGGAUAGCCCGGAGAAAUUCGGAUUAAUACCCCAUAAAGAUAUUUAGAGGCAUCUCUGAAUAUUUAAAGCUUCGGCGGUACGGGAUGGGCAUGCGUGACAUUGGCUAGUUGGUAGGGUAACGGCCUACCAAGGCCACGAUGUCUAGGGGUCCUGAGAGGGUGAUCCCCCACACUGGUACUGAGACACGGACCAGACUCCUACGGGAGGCAGCAGUGAGGAAUAUUGGUCAAUGGGCGCAAGCCUGAACCAGCCAUCCCGCGUGAAGGAAGAAGGCGCUAUGCGUUGUAAACUUCUUUUCUAGGGGAAUAAAAUUUCGUACGUGUACGGAACUGAAGGUACCUUGGGAAUAAGCAUCGGCUAACUCCGUGCCAGCAGCCGCGGUAAUACGGAGGAUGCGAGCGUUAUCCGGAUUCAUUGGGUUUAAAGGGUGCGUAGGCGGACUUAUAAGUCAGUGGUGAAAACCUGCAGCUUAACUGUAGACGUGCCAUUGAUACUGUUAGUCUUGAGUAUGGUCAAGGUAGGCGGAAUGUGUAAUGUAGCGGUGAAAUGCUUAGAUAUUACACAGAACACCGAUUGCGAAGGCAGCUUACUGGGCCAUUACUGACGCUGAUGCACGAAAGCGUGGGGAGCGAACAGGAUUAGAUACCCUGGUAGUCC